This is a non-coding RNA of Sebastes umbrosus (honeycomb rockfish), 462 nucleotides long. NCBI's taxonomy places the organism in Eukaryota, Metazoa, Chordata, Actinopteri, Perciformes, Sebastidae. The record is from the annotation of a RefSeq genome assembly.
AAGAAGUGAGUGAGUGUCAGUGAGAGACAGAAGAGCUCCAUCAGCUCAGCUUCAACAUCAACCAUGUUCUCUGGAGCUCUGAUACUGCUGCUGGCAGCUGGAUCCUGUGUGAACAGUAUUGAUCUCAUCCAGCCAGACUCAAUGGUUGUGCAGCCUGGACAGUCUUUGACCAUCACCUGUCAGGUCUCUGGUUAUUCUCUGACUGAUAACAGCUAUGCAACCGGUUGGAUCAGACAGUGUGAAGGAAAACCAAUGGACUGGAUUUUACAAUGGUGGGGAACAAGUGGCCUUGUUCAAAAUAAUGCUCUGAAGAACAAGUUCAGCUACAGCAGAGACACUUCUGCUGGAACAGUGACUCUAAACGGACAGAACGUGCAGCCUGAAGACUCUGCUGUGUAUUACUGUGCCAGAGACACACACUGGUUAAAGUUACCAGAGAAACUGUACAAAAACCAUAAAUAA